Molecule: ribosomal RNA, 441 nt
Filed under: uncultured bacterium
Lineage: Bacteria
Description: partial 16S ribosomal RNA
Rfam family: Bacterial small subunit ribosomal RNA
Source: RNAcentral
CCUACGGGGGGCAGCAGUGGGGAAUAUUGCACAAUGGGGGAAACCCUGAUGCAGCAACGCCGCGUGAGUGAUGAAGUAUCUCGGUAUGUAAAGCUUCAUCAGCAGGGAAGAAGAAAGACGGUACCUGACUAAUAAGCCCCGACUAACUACGUGCCAGCAGCCGCGGUAAUACGGAGGGGGCAAGCGUUAUCCGGAUUUACUGGGUGUAAAGGGAGCGUAGACGGGUGUGCAAGUCAGAAGUGAAAGUGCGUGGCUCAACCGUAAAACUGCUUUGGAAACUGGAAGGCGUGAGUACAGGAGAGGCAGGAGGAAUUCGGGGUGUAGCGGUGAAAUGCUGAGAUAUCACGAAGAACCACGAUGGCGAAGGCAGCCGACUAAACGGAGACUGACAUUGAGGCUCGAAAGUGUGGGGAUCAAACAGGAUUAGAUACCCGAGGAGUA